Heterocephalus glaber (naked mole-rat) is the source of this 168-nucleotide small nuclear RNA. Its record names the gene U4. It matches the Rfam family "U4 spliceosomal RNA". From Rfam's summary of the family: U4 small nuclear RNA (U4 snRNA) is a component of the major U2-dependent spliceosome. The structure of U4 snRNA from yeast and human has been reported. U4 snRNA presents a k-turn RNA motif in the 5p-SL related to recognition of Snu13 protein. NCBI's taxonomy places the organism in Eukaryota, Metazoa, Chordata, Mammalia, Rodentia, Bathyergidae. The record is from Ensembl.
AAUUUUGUGCAGGGGCAGUAUCACAGCCAAUGAGGUUUAUCCGAGGCGCGAUGAUUGCUAAUGGAAAACUUUUCCCAAACAUGAAUUUGGAACAAACUGUGUUCAACAACUGAGGUAUCACCGUAAUGUAGUUAUUUAUUUUCAAAUUAGUUCAGGCUUACAAGGAAG